This 821-nucleotide ribosomal RNA is filed under the name Neomicrococcus aestuarii. Its description in RNAcentral is "bacterial SSU rRNA". It matches the Rfam family "Bacterial small subunit ribosomal RNA", at positions 40 to 873 of the family's 1533-position model. Lineage: Bacteria; Bacillati; Actinomycetota; Actinomycetes; Micrococcales; Micrococcaceae. The record is from RNAcentral.
CGGCGUGCUUACACAUGCAAGUCGAACGAUGAUGCCUAGCUUGCUAGGUGGAUUAGUGGCGAACGGGUGAGUAACACGUGAGUAACCUGCCCCUGACUCUGGGAUAAGCCUGAGAAAUUGGGUCUAAUACUGGAUAUGAGCAUCUAUCGCAUGGUGGGUGUUGGAAAGAUUUUUUGGUUAGGGAUGGACUCGCGGCCUAUCAGCUUGUUGGUGAGGUAGUGGCUCACCAAGGCGACGACGGGUAGCCGGCCUGAGAGGGUGACCGGCCACACUGGGACUGAGACACGGCCCAGACUCCUACGGGAGGCAGCAGUGGGGAAUAUUGCACAAUGGGCGAAAGCCUGAUGCAGCGACGCCGCGUGAGGGAUGACGGCCUUCGGGUUGUAAACCUCUUUCAGUAGGGAAGAAGCGAAAGUGACGGUACCUGCAGAAGAAGCGCCGGCUAACUACGUGCCAGCAGCCGCGGUAAUACGUAGGGCGCAAGCGUUAUCCGGAAUUAUUGGGCGUAAAGAGCUCGUAGGCGGUUUGUCGCGUCUGCCGUGAAAGUCCGGGGCUUAACUCCGGAUCUGCGGUGGGUACGGGCAGGCUAGAGUGCAGUAGGGGAGACUGGAAUUCCUGGUGUAGCGGUGAAAUGCGCAGAUAUCAGGAGGAACACCGAUGGCGAAGGCAGGUCUCUGGGCUGUAACUGACGCUGAGGAGCGAAAGCAUGGGUAGCGAACAGGAUUAGAUACCCUGGUAGUCCAUGCCGUAAACGUUGGGCACUAGGUGUGGGGGACAUUCCACGUUUUCCGCGCCGUAGCUAACGCAUUAAGUGCCCCGCC